CCCAAGGUGAGUGUAUCCGGAGACAGGACCUCUAAGGCAGCCGCGACAGUUAAAUGAGAUCCUAAAGGAUUUCCACUUACGUGACUGUGGAGAUGGCUGUGCUACCCUCAGAACUGAGGAUUACAGGAGGGGCUGAAAGCUGAGUGCCAGGGAACGACAGAGGUAGGAGGGGAUAAGAAACUCCCUUGGGAAAGUCAUGGCUCUGAAGUGCUGUGAGUCACCAGAGAAAAGGCCUCAUCUGGAAUUCAGAAAGGGACUCAAUCUUGGAGGAAGGGGCAUGAGAGUCAUCCCUUCAUAGAGCGAAACAAGAACCACACUCAUGAAUGAGGUUUCCCAGGAGAGCACAUCUCAAAGGAGAAGGGGGGGGGGGCCCACACCCCGAGGACAUGAGAGGUUUCAGGCAUCCGGUGGGGGUCUUCCCGAUUGUUCUGUGAAGGAGAGAUAUCCGCAAAAUGACCUCUAAAGACUGAAUAAACCAUAAGACAGAAGAAAAAAGCUGGGAGAUCAUAUUCGCAAGACUUCCUUGUAAUUAACUUGGGACCACAUGAACAGUUCUAUCUAAUGUGAAGUGGAAGAAAAUGAUGAAAACCACUUUCCCCUUCACGUUCAUAUCUCUUCUGGGAAUAUUAUGUAGCUCUCUCUUGCGUUUUGGCUGUGAUCUGAAGUCAUGCACCCAAGAUAGUGGUAGCACAAGAUGGAAGCAUCCUCAAUCUCCAAACCCCCACAUCUAGGAAAGCAGCAAGAAACAUCAUUGAUGAUGCGUGUUACAACACCUACUAUUCUAUAAAAUAGAUCAUUGAUCCCUUUCCCCCACUGUCACCAUUUCCAUUCGAUCUACACUUUUCUCUCCUUUCUAAAGCAUCCUCCACACAGAUCAGAGUCACGUCACAGGUGUGAUGGUGUUCUCUAUAAACAUUCCAUAAAUUUUAGCUAUG
This is a long non-coding RNA of Canis lupus familiaris (dog), 935 nucleotides long. RefSeq lists it as uncharacterized. Lineage: Eukaryota; Metazoa; Chordata; Mammalia; Carnivora; Canidae. The record is from RefSeq and is a predicted model, not a curated record. The transcript is spliced from 4 exons.